RNAcentral lists this transfer RNA (73 nucleotides) under Trichonephila inaurata madagascariensis. It matches the Rfam family "tRNA". From Rfam's summary of the family: Transfer RNA (tRNA) molecules are approximately 80 nucleotides in length. Their secondary structure includes four short double-helical elements and three loops (D, anti-codon, and T loops). Lineage: Eukaryota; Metazoa; Arthropoda; Arachnida; Araneae; Nephilidae. The record is from Rfam by way of RNAcentral.
GUUCCUGUAGCACAAUGGAUAGCGCAUUGGACUUCUAAUCCAAAGGUCGGGGGUUCGAAUCCCACCUGGGAUG